CGGAAUAUACAUACAUAUUUGUGAAAUUUGUGGAAAAGUUUUCAAGAGUAGAAAAAUGUUCGGUUUACAUAUACAGAAAAAUCAUGAAAUCUAUGAUUUUCCUAAUAAACCAAAACAUCAGUAUAUAGAUACAGACAGAAAUCAUGAAUGUGAUACAUGUGGGAAAAGUUUUAAGAAGUCAGGGCAUUUGAAAGUUCAUACACGCUUACAUACUGCAGUAAAACCUUUUAAAUGCGAUGUGUGUUUAAAGGCGUUUACUUCAAAAUGUGAUUUAACCAG
This 279-nucleotide long non-coding RNA is filed under the name Mytilus galloprovincialis (Mediterranean mussel). The record is from RNAcentral. Lineage: Eukaryota; Metazoa; Mollusca; Bivalvia; Mytilida; Mytilidae.